UACCAGACUCCUACGGGAGGCAGCAGUGAGGAAUAUUGGUCAAUGGGCGGGAGCCUGAACCAGCCAAGUCGCGUGAGGGAAGACGGUCCUACGGAUUGUAAACCUCUUUUGCCGGGGAGCAACGGGGUCCUUGCGAGGGCCCGAUGAGAGUACCCGGAGAAAAAGCAUCGGCUAACUCCGUGCCAGCAGCCGCGGUAAUACGGAGGAUGCGAGCGUUAUCCGGAUUUAUUGGGUUUAAAGGGUGCGCAGGCGGCACGGCAAGCCGGCGGUCAAAUCGCGGGGCUCAACCCCGCCCAGCCGUCGGAACUGCCGGGCUAGAGUGGGCGAGAAGUGCGCGGAAUGCGUGGUGUAGCGGUGAAAUGCAUAGAUAUCACGCAGAACUCCGAUUGCGAAGGCAGCGCACCGGCGCCCUACUGACGCUCAGGCACGAAAGCGUGGGUAUCGAACAGGAUUAGAUACCCCAGUA
This 466-nucleotide ribosomal RNA is filed under the name uncultured bacterium. RNAcentral describes it as "bacterial SSU rRNA". It matches the Rfam family "Bacterial small subunit ribosomal RNA", at positions 329 to 792 of the family's 1533-position model. The record is from RNAcentral.